RNAcentral lists this long non-coding RNA (338 nucleotides) under Daucus carota (carrot). Its description in RNAcentral is "long non-coding RNA (DCAR_LNC006540)". The record is from RNAcentral. Lineage: Eukaryota; Viridiplantae; Streptophyta; Magnoliopsida; Apiales; Apiaceae.
CCGUCUCCUCUCUUUGGUGGCGAACUUACAAAUGAAUCAGCCGACUGCAUUCCAACCAAAAAGGUAUGGUCAAUUACAUAUUUAAAUUUCAAUCCAAGAUACUAUUUAAGUAAUUUAUAAUAUCAUUUUUUUUUAGAAUUGUACUAAAGGAAAUCAUGAUUAUGAUGAGAAUUCAGAUCUGAACCUCAGGUCCGGAGAAACUGGCAGGAGUAUUUGGCGUGCUAGAUUCAGUAGAACCAAAAGAAUCAGAGUGAUCAGCAAUCAACUUCUGCAUAGGCUUUGGCGGAACAAUCUCAAGAACAUCAAUGUACCAGAAAAUCCAAUCCUGAGUAGCUGAC